UACAAAUGUCAACAAAAUUAUGAAAAUGUACCCAUAGUACCUAUAAAACAAAUGUACGCAAUUUAUUUGUAAUACCUUACGUAGUUUUAGAUGUAUGAUUUGGUUAUUCAUUUUUUGUAUGAUUAUGUGGAACUUGUUGGAAAACAAAUAAGAUGGUGGGUAAUUUCAUCUUUUGUGGGACCUUCGAGUUCAAGACACUUGGUGAUAAAUAUUUUAUUUUAUUUAAAUAAUAUUUAUCUUAAUGAACGUGUGAUCGAAAACGGAUGUGAAUUCGGAGUUAGAACGAGUAAGUUACGAAUUUUUAAAGUUAGAAGGCAAAAUGGUAAUUUUGGGAGGGAGUAUUCUAGAAGCCAAGGGCUUCUCCCAUUUUACUUUCCCAACAGGCUGAUGCAGCAGGGACCCACCCACGUGGGUCUUCACCCUUCCCACCAGGUCAUGUAUAUAUAAUUAUUUGUUGUAUAGACAUAGUUAUGUAUAUAAUUAUUUUAUAAAUUUUCUGAUGGGUUUUUGUGUACCGUGGGACCCACUCACGUGGGUCUUCACCCUUCCCCGUGCUUCUGUUCAUCUCUACACGCCAUCACUCUUCCGUCUCCCUCCUUCACGCAAUCCUCUCUCUCUCUCUCUACUCCUUCACAUUUUUCUCUGUCAUCUCCUUUACCAUUUAUGCGCUCACUGCACAGAAAACUGCGGCAUCCAUCUCCAUCUAACUAGCCACUUCGGCGAACCUUGCCAUCACCCAAACACUACACUGCCACCUUCGCUCUCUCACAAUCUUUUUGUAUCUCCCUCUUGGCUUCUUCCUUGACACAGAGAAGCUCAUAAGCAAUGACGGCGACAGAACUAGCAAUCUCUGGCGAGGCAACCACCAAUGUCACCUUCCUCUCCUCACUGCAAACUCCCCAUUACCUUUUGCUUUCUGGAAAUCAAAACUGACGCGACGAAAUGACAAGCUCCGUCGCUGCUUAACUCCUCGACGAGAUUUUCUGUUAAAUCCAGUAUGAUUUCAUCUCAGGGGACAAAUUCCCUAGAUUUCCAGCAAGGGCUAUGAUUUUAGGCUGAUUUUAAGAUAUCACUGGCCACCCAAUGGCCCUGAAGAAGGUCACACUGUCACUGCGUGUGGCACUGUUGUGGAUGGCACGUGGAGCAUAGGCGCCUCCACCGGAAGGAUGACUGCCUGAAAGGAUGAAUAUACGUUUUCAAAUGUUUGUUUCAAAUUGUAGGAUAUUUCAAAUAUGUUAUUUUUUUUAAUAUUUAAUUGAUAGAGCAUAAUUACAAAAAUUGUGCUAACGUAAAUCUGAAAUGGCAUCUGACACAGGUGUCAGAACAGGGCACAAUAUAAACCUUAUUUGUGCUCAACUUUUUGAGCACACAUGGACGUAUCGUGCCCUCUAAUCAAAGGUGAUGCCUGUAAAGGGCACAUAUACAAAUAUAUUUGCUGCAUUGUUGCUAUUGGUCUAUGGGCACAAUUAUUGGUGCUUUUUGGCCUCAAGGGGCACUGAUAA
Long non-coding RNA from Pyrus x bretschneideri (Chinese white pear), 1502 nucleotides. RefSeq lists it as uncharacterized. NCBI's taxonomy places the organism in Eukaryota, Viridiplantae, Streptophyta, Magnoliopsida, Rosales, Rosaceae. The record is from RefSeq and is a predicted model, not a curated record. The transcript is spliced from 3 exons.